CACAGUAGUUAUACUGGAACUGGCCUCUUUGUGUUUUAGUCUGCAGGAACAGUGAGUGUGUGCUCCUGGAGAUGUAAUAUGACUGCCAUGGAUCACAAUUCUCUGCGCUGCUGAGGCUGGUGGAAGCUGGAAUCCAACAUCUGGACUGACACAUGUUUGCUGUCUCUUGCUUACUACAAAAUGAACAGCCAUCCUAGAAGGUUACCUUUUGCUCAGGCUUUGAAAAAUUAAAAUUACUUGGCUCCUUGCAAGAAACGAAGCGGAUACAUGAAGAAGCCCUGCAGAGAAAGUCAUCAAGUGCUACGAAAUUAUUCCAGAUGAAAAUACAGGCUGUUAUCAAUCGUGCCAAAGUCGUGAAUAUUUAUGUCAUUAGGAAGAAACAGGACUGCACUUGUGUCACAAUGGGCUUUCAAAUGCCAGGUGGUAACCAUGGAAACCAGUGGGCAACAUCAGCUAGUUACCUUUUCAGGCAACUCCAUGCCUUCUCGAAGGAAAACUAACCUGGAAAGCGGCUGUUUGUGGUUCCAGCAGGCUAUUUGCUGCCUUAAAGUCAAGAAGAAUAGCUCAAGGGCCCAUGGCACCAACAUGUUGCCUUGGUUACACUUGGAAGGAUGGACCACUGCUUUCUAAGCUUAUGAAGAUUCAUCAUUCUAUAAGAAUGCAGUCUGUUCUUAAGGUUUCUACAUGAAAGUCCAAUGACAUAUCAUCUUGUGGGAUGAAGGCUGGCAACCCAAAAAGGGUUCUCCCACCAUUAAAGUCCUAUUGAUGUUCUUAACAUUUGUCAGAAACUUCCCUCUGCUCCACAGCAUAAUAAAUGGU
Pogona vitticeps (central bearded dragon) is the source of this 819-nucleotide non-coding RNA. Lineage: Eukaryota; Metazoa; Chordata; Lepidosauria; Squamata; Agamidae. The record is from RefSeq and is a predicted model, not a curated record.